RNAcentral lists this non-coding RNA (22 nucleotides) under Arabidopsis thaliana (thale cress). The record is from RNAcentral. Lineage: Eukaryota; Viridiplantae; Streptophyta; Magnoliopsida; Brassicales; Brassicaceae.
CGGGUAUCCAAGCUUGCUUGCC